UACAGAGGGUGCGAGCGUUGUUCGGAAUUAUUGGGCGUAAAGGGCGCGUAGGCGGCGCCACAAGUCACCUGUGAAAACUCUGGGCUCAACCCAGAGCCUGCAGGCGAAACUACCAUUCUUGAGUGUCGGAGAGGAAAGCGGAAUUCCUGGUGUAGAGGUGAAAUUCGUAGAUAUCAGGAGGAACACCAGUGGCGAAGGCGGCUUUCUGGACGAUAACUGACGCUGAGACGCGAAAGCGUGGGGAGCAAACAGG
RNAcentral lists this ribosomal RNA (253 nucleotides) under uncultured bacterium. Its description in RNAcentral is "partial 16S ribosomal RNA". It matches the Rfam family "Bacterial small subunit ribosomal RNA", at positions 524 to 776 of the family's 1533-position model. The record is from RNAcentral.